Long non-coding RNA from Ailuropoda melanoleuca (giant panda), 519 nucleotides. RefSeq lists it as uncharacterized. The transcript has 3 exons. The record is from RefSeq and is a predicted model, not a curated record. NCBI's taxonomy places the organism in Eukaryota, Metazoa, Chordata, Mammalia, Carnivora, Ursidae.
ACCCGGGAAAGCAGAAAAGUACAUCCAUUUCCCCCAGAAGCCUUCGUAAGAGAGUCAGACUCCCUGUGCUGCACACAUCACCGUGUGGACCCACCGAGAAGACAUCUGAAUUCAGUCAGUUGAUCAAUCUUCCCCAAAGCUGCAUGGCGGGUACGCCUUCUCUCCCGGGAGCAGAGCGAGGGGCAGGAGAGGACACCGGGCGGCGGACACGGAGGGCAGAAAUCACACUCCAGCUGCGAGAUUUGACACAGGUUUUCGGACUCCGGCGACGAACAAGACGCUUCGCGGCCCCUGCACCUCGCACCCGUGUAGGCGCGGGCGCGCUGGGCAACUUAAGAACAAACACAGUCGUCUGGAUGGGGGCAGGAGCGGUUCCGAGGUCUUCCCAGCGAGGACCGGGGUCUGCGGCGCCGACUCGGAAGGGGUGGGGGCUGGGGCUCCCCUGACUCGUCCCACGGGCACUGAUCGCAGACCUUCGCCCGUGGACCGCCCUGCUUUCCUCCUUGCGACCCCCCAGCG